RNAcentral lists this unclassified non-coding RNA (313 nucleotides) under Bombus terrestris (buff-tailed bumblebee). RNAcentral describes it as "misc RNA ENSBTSG00005023371.1". Lineage: Eukaryota; Metazoa; Arthropoda; Insecta; Hymenoptera; Apidae. The record is from RNAcentral.
UAAACAUUCUCCAGACAGCCGAUACUUGAACAUUACACAUGGCGACCUUGGCGACAAUGUAUAUUGCCGGAGUGCCUGAGGGUUCAUCUGUGUCCUAACGGUCCUUCCACCGAAUGUUCUGGAAGCGUGGCAGCGGUCGCGUGCGCCUGCAGGGUGGUGGGGAUGAUGAAGGAUGAAAAACAAAAGAAGAAACAGAUGUCACCGAAAGUAAAAAAUAUUGAUACAUCAACGUUGGAUAAAACAAGAUUACGGUUUUGGCCUACGGGACAUCCGACCAAAGGUGUAUCAAGCAACCUGGACUACGAAAAACGGU